GCAGCUUGCUGGACUGUAACUGACGCUGAGGCACGAAAGCGUGGGGAUCAAACAGGAUUAGAUACCCUGGUANNNACGCCGUAAACGAUGAAUGCUAGCUGUUAGCGAUAUACUGUUAGCGGCACAGAGAAAUCGUUAAGCAUUCCACCUGGGGAGUACGCCGGCAACGGUGAAACUCAAAGGAAUUGACGGGGGCCCGCACAAGCGGAGGAACAUGUGGUUUAAUUCGAUGAUACGCGAGGAACCUUACCUGGGCUUAAAUUGCAGUGGAAUAACGUGGAAACAUGUUAGCCUUCGGGCCGCUGUGAAGGUGCUGCAUGGUUGUCGUCAGCUCGUGCCGUGAGGUGUCGGCUUAAGUGCCAUAACGAGCGCAACCCUCAUCGAUAGUUACUAACAGGUCAAGCUGAGGACUCUAUCGAGACUGCCAGCGUAAGCUGUGAGGAAGGUGUGGAUGACGUCAAAUCAGCACGGCCCUUACGUCCGGGGCGACACACGUGUUACAAUGGGAGGUACAAAGGGCAGCUACCUGGCGACAGGAUGCUAAUCUCUAAAACCUUUCUCAGUUCGGAUUGGAGUCUGCAACUCGACUCCAUGAAGCUGGAUUCGCUAGUAAUCGCGCAUCAGCCAUGGCGCGGUGAAUACGUUCCCGGGCCUUGUACACACCGCCCGUCAAGCCAUGGAAGCUGGGGGUACCUGAAGUAUGCAACCGCAAGGAGCGUCCUAGGGUAAAACCGGUAACUGGGGCU
This 746-nucleotide ribosomal RNA is filed under the name uncultured prokaryote. RNAcentral describes it as "bacterial SSU rRNA". It matches the Rfam family "Bacterial small subunit ribosomal RNA", at positions 721 to 1482 of the family's 1533-position model. The record is from RNAcentral.